AUUUUGCUUUCACAAUAGACGAUAAAAGUUGUGCCCGAACGAUGUGUCCUGGGUAUGCUAUUUUUCAUUAGCCCUGUAUCUGCUAGUUUCUUGGAAAAGCUAGACUAUAAAGAGACAGGCAUACUUUCUGGUCACCAGACAGCGUGGGAGCAGCGGCGUUGAAUUACACCUUGGAAACAGCUUUACUGUUGGAAUCAAGAAUGACAGACAGGCCAAACGUGACGGUCAAGCACCUUGGUGGAUCACAAUACCGAGUUUCACUACAACAUGUAUUCACCUGAUCAGCAGCCUACAGGUGCAAAAGCAACUGUAAAACGUUCCAGUGUACUGGAGUUCAUGCUAGAGUUGGGUCCACUGAAUUUCAUGAUGUAUCGCAGGCAAUUCCAGGAGGGAUAAUCAUUACAGGCCAGAAAACCGAUGGCAAUACCCACGUUGUGACUGUAACAUCUCAGAUCGACCCAACUAAAUAUAUCCAAUGAGUUUAACAUCUCAAUCAUUCGUAGAUUACUAGAAUUAUGUGCACGCUGUAAUCGAUGGAUUUGCCUUUCACAACAACCAUGAGGACUACCGGAUAUUUUCAUGGAAUACUUGUUAGUUGUGGAGUUUUAGAACACACGGUAAUGUAUGGAUUUUGCCUUUAAAAAGAAAAGAAAUGGAACCUACGGAAAUUUCGAAUGAGUUCAUGAGUUACUUGUAAAUCGUCCGUCAAUAACUGAAAAACAUUCACACUGGAACCAAAGGAUUUUAUGUGUCAUUAAACGUUCAACAGGAAUACCAAAUAUUUCCUGUUCCUGAGUUCAUGGAUUACCGGUUAAUACUUGGUGGAUUAAAGGAAUAGUGUACACACUGUAACUGGUGGAUUUUUCAUUUCACAACAACCACUAGGACUGCAGGAUAUUUUCACUGGCUUCAUGGAUUACUUGUUAGUUUUUUGUGGAUUACCAGAAUGCACAGUAGUUUAUGGAUUUUGCCUUUACCUUAGAAAUAGAAACCGAAUAUUUCCAAUGAGUUCAUGGUUUACUUGUUAGCAGAUUACAAGAAAAAUGUUCAUGCUGUAACUGACGGAUUUUGUCUUUCUCAAAAAGAUCAAUAGGACUACGGAAAAUUUCCUAGUUUAGGGAUUAGUUGUUAAUGGUUAAAUUGUUCAUUAAGAAAUAGGUUCAGUACAAUACUUUUCUGCUUAUUGUUGUUGUUAGUUUUUAAUUUAUUCAUAUUUUACUCAUUUCUGGUAUAAUUGAUGGAUUACUGACAUAGCUUCUGUUUGUAACUUAAAAUAAGAUAAUUAUGAAAUUCAAAUUCAAUAAGACAUGUGGCGCACACAUUAUUAUGUAUCACCAGAAAUAAAAUGAUAAAUGUAA
This is a long non-coding RNA of Haliotis rubra (blacklip abalone), 1358 nucleotides long. RefSeq lists it as uncharacterized. NCBI's taxonomy places the organism in Eukaryota, Metazoa, Mollusca, Gastropoda, Lepetellida, Haliotidae. The transcript is spliced from 5 exons. The record is from RefSeq and is a predicted model, not a curated record.